Long non-coding RNA from Notolabrus celidotus (New Zealand spotty), 454 nucleotides. RefSeq lists it as uncharacterized. The record is from RefSeq and is a predicted model, not a curated record. Lineage: Eukaryota; Metazoa; Chordata; Actinopteri; Labriformes; Labridae. The transcript has 3 exons.
GGAGAUCCAGCACCAAAAAUCUGUUGUGAUGAGUCAAGCUGCACAUCUGGAAAUUAAGGACAACACCAUCCAGGAGUUACAGGACAAAACAAAAUGGAGGAAACUAAAAUGCUUGUCCAAGCAUUUGCUGAAGGAAUGGAUGCAGACUGGAUUAAUGACCAAGAAGGACAAGCAGGUCCAUCUGACAGUGCACAUGGUCACUCACCAUGAGGCCACCUGAUCAGAUGCCAGCACCUUGCUGAUGAACCACUUCCCAGAUCAAAAUGUACAAAUACUGUUGUGUAUAAGCUGUUUCUUAAUUGUUGGUAAUAUAUUAUUUCUUGGACAUGUUAAUUACUGUUAUUAAUGUGUUAUAUUGUUUUUUUGGGCUACAUUUUUUAUAUAUAUAUUUAAAAUGCUCUUAUUUGUAUUUCCUUUGAGUUCUAUUUAAAAUUGGUAAUAAAUGUCUGCUUUC